GAAACAUCGUUUUUUCAACCACUCAGCUUCAUAUUCACUUGUGUGUUCGUCAGGCCAUGUAAUAGAGAUCUUUCAACACAAAGGAAAAGGAAGAAAUGUUAAUGCAGAUAAGAAGACAGGGAUACAGACAUUAGUCCAAUUCUGAUUAUUGGAUUCAAGUUUGGUUUGAGAGUUCACUCUAAGAUGAAGAUUAUUUUACAUUGCAAAUUUGCUAAUAAAGCAGGUAUUUUUGUUAUGGAUUAAGGUCACAAUUGUUUUACAAUUUGUUUUUCAGAUUUUCAAGCCAUUUACUUAAAGACUAAAGAGAAGAAAAAGUGUAAUUAAAUUUGCAAGAAAUGUC
Molecule: non-coding RNA, 340 nt
Organism: Cyanistes caeruleus (blue tit)
Lineage: Eukaryota; Metazoa; Chordata; Aves; Passeriformes; Paridae
Source: RefSeq, a predicted model, not a curated record